Molecule: ribosomal RNA, 501 nt
Filed under: uncultured bacterium
Lineage: Bacteria
Description: partial 16S ribosomal RNA
Rfam family: Bacterial small subunit ribosomal RNA
Source: RNAcentral
AUUGAACGCUGGCGGCAUGCCUUACACAUGCAAGUCGAACGGCAGCACGGGUGCUUGCACCUGGUGGCGAGUGGCGAACGGGUGAGUAAUACAUCGGAACGUACCUUAUCGUGGGGGAUAACGCAGCGAAAGCUGUGCUAAUACCGCAUACGCCAUGAGGGGGAAAGCGGGGGAUCGCAAGACCUCGCGCGAUUAGAGCGGCCGAUGCCUGAUUAGCUUGUUUGUGGGGUAAAAGCCCACCAAGGCGACGAUCAGUAGCUGGUCUGAAAGGACGAUCAGCCACACUGGGACUGAGACACGGCCCAGACUCCUUCGGGAGGCAGCAGUGGGGAAUUUUGGACGAUGGAGGCAACCCUGAUCCAGCAAUGCCGCGUGAGUGAAGAAGGCCUUCGGGUUGUAAAGCUCUUUUGUCAGGGAAGAAACACCGGCUCUAACACAGUCCGGGAAUGACGGUACCUGAAGAAUAAGCACCGGCUAACUACGUGCCAGCCGCCGCAGUAA